GACGAACGCUGGCGGCGUGCUUAACACAUGCAAGUCGAACGGAAAGGCCCUGCUUUUGUGGGGUGCUCGAGUGGCGAACGGGUGAGUAACACGUGAGUAACCUGCCCUUGACUUUGGGAUAACUUCAGGAAACUGGGGCUAAUACCGGAUAGGAGCUCCUGCUGCAUGGUGGGGGUUGGAAAGUUUCGGCGGUUGGGGAUGGACUCGCGGCUUAUCAGCUUGUUGGUGGGGGAGUGGCUUACCAAGGCUUUGACGGGUAGCCGGCCUGGGGGGGUGACCGGCCACAUUGGGACUGAGAUACGGCCCAGACUCCUACGGGAGGCAGCAGUGGGGAAUAUUGCACAAUGGGCGGAAGCCUGAUGCAGCAACGCCGCGUGCGGGAUGACGGCCUUCGGGUUGUAACCCGCUUUCGCCUGUGACGAAGCGUGAGUGACGGUAAUGGGUAAAGAAGCACCGGCUAACUACGUG
RNAcentral lists this ribosomal RNA (468 nucleotides) under uncultured bacterium. RNAcentral's name for it is "partial 16S ribosomal RNA". It matches the Rfam family "Bacterial small subunit ribosomal RNA", at positions 28 to 507 of the family's 1533-position model. The record is from RNAcentral.